ACGGGUGAGUAAUGUCUGGGAAACUGCCUGAUGGAGGGGGAUAACUACUGGAAACGGUAGCUAAUACCGCAUGACCUCGCAAGAGCAGAGUGGGGGACCUUCGGGCCUCACGCCAUCGGAUGUGCCCAGAUGGGAUUAGCUAGUAGGUGAGGUAAUGGCUCACCUAGGCGACGAUCCCUAGCUGGUCUGAGAGGAUGACCAGCCACACUGGAACUGAGACACGGUCCAGACUCCUACGGGAGGCAGCAGUGGGGAAUAUUGCACAAUGGGCGCAAGCCUGAUGCAGCCAUGCCGCGUGUGUGAAGAAGGCCUUAGGGUUGUAAAGCACUUUCAGCGAGGAGGAAGGGUUCAGUGUUAAUAGCACUGUGCAUUGACGUUACUCGCAGAAGAAGCACCGGCUAACUCCGUGCCAGCAGCCGCGGUAAUACGGAGGGUGCAAGCGUUAAUCGGAAUUACUGGGCGUAAAGCGCACGCAGGCGGUUUGUUAAGUCAGAUGUGAAAUCCCCGAGCUUAACUUGGGAACUGCAUUUGAAACUGGCAAGCUAGAGUCUUGUAGAGGGGGGUAGAAUUCCAGGUGUAGCG
Molecule: ribosomal RNA, 582 nt
Filed under: uncultured bacterium
Lineage: Bacteria
Description: bacterial SSU rRNA
Rfam family: Bacterial small subunit ribosomal RNA
Source: RNAcentral